Molecule: ribosomal RNA, 460 nt
Filed under: uncultured bacterium
Lineage: Bacteria
Description: partial 16S ribosomal RNA
Rfam family: Bacterial small subunit ribosomal RNA
Source: RNAcentral
CCUACGGGUGGCAGCAGUGAGGAAUAUUGGUCAAUGGACGAGAGUCUGAACCAGCCAAGUAGCGUGAAGGAUGAAUGCCCUAUGUGUUGUAAACUUCUUUUAUAUGGGAAUAAAGUGUUCCACGUGUGGGAUUUUGUAGGUACCAGAUGAAUAAGGAUCGGCUAACUCCGUGCCAGCAGCCGCGGUAAUACGGAGGAUCCGAGCGUUAUCCGGAUUUAUUGGGUUUAAAGGGAGCGUAGGUGGGUUGUUAAGUCAGUUGUGAAAGUUUGCGGCUCAACCGUAAAAUUGCAGUUGAAACUGGCAGUCUGGAGUAGAGUAGAGGUAGGCGGAAUGCGUGGUGUAGCGGUGAAAUGCUUAGAUAUCACGAAGAACUCCGAUUGCGAAGGCAGCUUACUGGAUUGCAACUGACACUGAGGCUCGAAAGUGUGGGUAUCAAACAGGAUUAGAUACCCUAGUAGUC